This is a long non-coding RNA of Mirounga angustirostris (Northern elephant seal), 9992 nucleotides long. RefSeq lists it as uncharacterized. NCBI's taxonomy places the organism in Eukaryota, Metazoa, Chordata, Mammalia, Carnivora, Phocidae. The record is from RefSeq and is a predicted model, not a curated record. The transcript is spliced from 3 exons.
GGCGCCAGGGGCGGGAGUGCGGAGGGCGGCGCGGGACUUUGCAGCACGGGGAGCCCACGGAGACCUCACGGGCCUCGAACCCCCUCUCCCUGGGGUGGAGCUUACCACCCUGACUUGUCCGGGAAGAGAGUAGAGUGCGGGGCAUCGUUUUCCAUGGAAUCUUUGGUCCCUUUCCCCGCAGUUUUUACAAGUGCCUUAUAAAUUAGAGAUCGUCAUCUUUCAUCUGUGAUAUAUGUUAUGGCUCUUUCCUUUCAGUUUGUCAUUUGCCUUCUGAGCUUGCUGGUGGUGGCUUUUCCCCCAUGCAAACGGUUUUUAUUUUUAUAGUAAAAUUUACCAAUUUUUUAAUUUUCUUGCAUUUGGAAUUUUGGUCAUAUUUUAAAAGCUUUCCCCAUCACCCAGGUUAUAGUCAUCCAUUUAUUUGUAAUGCUUUAUUUUUUACAUUUAGAUCUUUGAUACAUUUUGAGUUUAUUCUUGUUUAUGGUUUGAGGAAUGGAUCAAAUUUUGUCUUUUUUCCAAAUGGGUAUCCAGUUGUCCCAACACCAUUUAUUAAAAAGAUUAGUACUGCCUUAGUAACUUGAGAUACCACCUUUAUCAUAUACUAGAUUUUUAUAUGUAUUUUGACUGUUUCUAGAACUUCUAUUCCAUUGACAUGUUUAUUCAUCUGUUGCAGAGAGGCUCUGUUAUAUAUUCUAAUGUCAGGGCUAGUUCCCCUAACAACUCUUCCUUCCCGCUGUUUUCCUAGCUAUUCUUUUGUGCUUAUCUUUACUUAGGAACUUUAGGAUUGACUUCUGAUUUAUGAUCAGUGGCAAAAAAAAAAAAAGCUCCCAUUGGGAUUUGUAUUGGAUUUGCAUUAAACUUAUAAAUUACAGACAGCUGACAUCUUGAGAUGGUGUUGAGAUGUUCUAACCAAGAACAAAGGAUGCCAUUUCUUUGUUCUGGUUUACUUUUGUGUCUUUAAAGAGUGUUUAUAGUUUUCUUACAUAGAAUAUUUUCUUGUUAAGUUUGUUUCUAAACAUUUUAUCUUUUUUUUUUCUAUUGUACAUGAGGUUUUUCAUUCACUGUAUCUUCUCUUUGUGUAUAUGAAUGCUGUUGACUUCCUUUCAUUUUAAAAAUUAAGGUAUAAUUUACAUACAGCAAAUUCAUACUUUUUAAUGUACAGUUCUGUGAGUUUUGACAGAUGAAUACAAUCUUGUAACAACCACAAGAGAUAAAAGAGAUAAAGAUAUUAAAAAGUUUCAUCAACCCCCCCCCCCAAAUUCCCACUGGUUCCUUUGUAAUCAACCUCUUCACUCAAGGUGCGUCCCUGGCAAAUACUGGUCAAAUUUUGGUCCCUAUAGUUCCAGAAUGUCAUAGAAGUGGAACCAUGCAGCACAUGGUCUUUUGAGCCUUGCUUCUUUCACUUAGCAUAAUGCAGUUGAGUUUCAUCCAUGUAGUUAGACCUAUUGCUAAUUUGCUGUUGCUUUCUAAUUUAAUUCCACAGUGAUUGGAGAACAUGCUUUGUGUUAUUUGAAUCCUUUUAAAUUUAUAAGUUGAGAUUUGUUUUCUGGACAGAAUAUGGUCUAUCUUGAUAAAUACAUUCCCAUGGACAGUUCAAAGUGUGUUCUGUUGUUGGGUGAAGUGUUCUAUCAGCAUCCAUUAGAUUAAGUUGAUUGAAAGUGUUGUUCAAGUCCUCAUAUCCUUACUGAUGUUAUGACUAGUUGAACUAUCAAUUACUGAGAAAGGAUGCUGAAAUCCCCAAGUAUAAUUGUAGACUUAUUUCUCCUUGAAGUUCUAUCCAUUUGGGCUUUGUAUGUUUUGAAAGUCUGUUGUUAGGUGUAUAUAUAUUUAGGAUUGUUAAUUCCCCUCGAUGAAUCUGUUUAUCAUUUCAGAAGAAGUAGAAUAAAAGUUCUUAUAUUUAUAAACAUGUAUAAAUAUAUAAAUAUAGAAUCUAUAGUGAUAUAUUGAAAUUUAUAAUAUUACAUAUUAUAUAGAUUUAUAGAAAUAUAUAAAUAUAGAACUUUUAAUCUAUUACUUUUGGAGUGUUUUUUUUUUAAGAGAGCAAGAGAUCAUGAGCAGUUGGGGAGGGGUAGAGGGAGAGGAAAAGAGAGAAUCUUAAGCAGGCUCCAAGUUCAGCAGAGCCCCACAUGGGGCUCAAUCUCACAACCCUGAAAUCAUGACCUGAGCCAAAAUCAAGAGUUGGGUGAACCGCUGAGCCACCCAGGUGUCCCUACAUUUGGAGUGUUUAAAAUUAACAUUUUUAACCCAUUGGGGGCUAAUAUUAUUGUAGUUAGUUGUUGAUUAUGACAUAUGAAUUUAUAUCUAAUUUUCUUCAUAAUGAAAACUAAUAUCCCAACAAUAUUUAUUAAAUUAUGAUUCAUCUCUUUACUUUCUUAUUCCUCUUAAUACUUCAUGUUAAGCUUUUUGAUAGAUUAAGGUUUAUAUCUGAAAUUUCUAUUGUACCUCCUGUCAUAUCAUCUAUUCUUAAUUUAGAACUAUUUAGCUUUAUAAUUACUGCUUAAUGAUGCAUUAAAAAAAAUUGGGUGGAGGAUACAGAAAGUUCCCAUAUACCACCUGCUCCGCCCCUAACUCCCCCAUUAUCAAUAUCUCACACCAGAGUGGUGCAUUUGUUACAAUUGGUGAAUCUACAUCGACACAUUAUUAUCAAAGUUCAUAGUUUACAUUAGAGCUUGAUCCUGGUGUUGUACAUUCUAUUGAGUUUUGACAAAUGUUUAAUAACAUACAUCCACCAUUAUAGUAUCAUACAAAAUAGGUUCACUGCCCUAGAAAUCCUCUGUGCUCUGCUGUUCAUCCUUCCCUUUCCUCUAAUUCUUGGCACCCACUGAUCUUUUUACUGUCUCCAUAGUUUUGCCUCCAAAUGUUAUAUAGUUGGAAUCAUAUGUUAUUAGCCUUUUCAGAUUGGCUUGUUUCACUUAGUAAUAUGCAUUUGUUUCCUCCACAUUUUUUUAGGCUUGAGAGCUCAUUUAUUUUUAGCACUGAACAAUAUUCCAUUGUCUGAAUGUACCAUAUAUUUAUCCAUUUACCUAUUGUAGAACAUCUUAGUUGCCUCCAAAUUUUGGCAAUUAUGAAUAAAGCUGCUAUAAUCAUCCAUGUGUAGGUUUUUGUAUAGACAUAAAUUUUUAACUCUUUAAGCGGCAUGAUUGCUGGAUUGUAUGGGAAGAAUAUGUUAGUUUUAUAAGAAACUAUCAAACUGUCUUGCAAAGUGAACACCAUUUUCAUUCCCACCAGCUAUACAUGAGAGUUCCUGUUGUUCCACAUCCCUUGCCUGCGUUUGGUAUUAUCACCAUUCCACUAGGUGUGUAGUGGUAUCUCAUCGUUAUUCUAAUUUACAUAUCCCCAAUGACGUAAGAUAUUGAGCAUCUUUUCAUAUAUUCAUUUGCCAUCUGUAUAUAUUCUUUGGUGAGGUGUCUGUUGAGGUCUUUUGCCCAUUUUAAAAUCAGGCUGUUUUCUUUUUUUUUAAGAUUUUAUUUAUUUAUUUGAGAGAGAGAGAGCGUGAGAGAGAGAGAGCAUGAGCAGGGGGGAGGAGCAGAGGGAGAGGGUGAAGCAGACUCCCUGCUAAGCAGGGAGUGCAAUAUGGACUUGAUCCUAGGACCCUGGGAUCAUGACCUGGGCCGAAGGCAGACGCUUCACCGACUAAGCCACCCAGGUGCCCCAGGUUGCUUUCUUAUUGUUAAAUUGUAAGAGUUCUUUAUAUUUUUGGAUAACAGUUUUUUUUAUCAGUUAUGUCUUUUGCAAAUAUUUUCUUCCAGUCUGUGAAAAGAUGCAUUUUAAAGUGUGAAAGUGCAUUUCAUUUGGUAUUGUCUUGGUUUUGUUUUUUUUUUAAUUUUAUUAUGUUAUGUCACCAUACAUUACAUCACUCCUUUUUGAUGUAGUGUUCCACGAUUCAUUGUUUGCAAAUAACACCCAGUGCUCCAUUCAGUACAUGCCCUCCUUAAUACCCAUCACCGGGCUAACCCAUCCCCCCACCUCCCUCCCCUCUAAAACCCUCAGUUUAUGUCUCAGAGUCCAUCGUCUCUCAUGGUUCAUCUCCCACUCCGAUUCCCCCCCUGCUUCAUUUUUCCCUUCCUACUAUCUUCUUUCCUUUUUUUUUUUUUUAACAUGUAAUGUAUUCUUUUUUUCAGAGGUACAGGUCUGUGAUUCAUCAGUCUUAUACAAUUCACAGUGCUCACCAUAGCACAUACCCUCCCCAAUGUCUAUCACCCAGCCACCCAUCCCUCCCACCCCCCACCACUCCAGCAACCCUCAGUUUGUUUCCUGAGAUUAAGAAUUCCUCAUAUCAGUGAGAUCAUAUGAUACUUGUCUUUCUCUCACUGACUUACUUCGUUUAGCAUAAUAUCCUCUAGUUCUAUCCACGUCGUUGCAAAUGGCAAGAUUUCGUGUUUUUUGAUGGCUGCAUAAUAUUCCAUUGUGUAUAUAUACCACAUCUUCUUUAUCCAUUCAUCUGUUGAUGGACAUCUUGGCUCUUUCCAAAGUUUGGCUAUUGUGGACAUUGCUGCUAUGAACAUUGGGGUGCAUGUACCCCUUUGGAUCGCUACAUUUGUAUCUUUGGGGUAAAUACCCAGUAGUGCAUUUGCUGGGUCGUAGGGUAGCUCUAUUUUCAACUUUUUGAGGAACCUCCAUACUGUUCUCCAGAGUGGCUGCACCAGCUUGCAUUCCCACCAACAGUGUAGGAGGGUUCUCCUUUCUCCGCAUCCUCGCCAACAUCUGUCGUUUCCUGGAUUGUUAAUUUUAGCCAUUCUGACUGGUGUGAGGUGAUAUCUCAUUGAGGUUUUGAUUUGGAUUUCCCUGAUGCUGAGUGAUGUUGAGCACUUUUUCAUGUGUCUGUUGGCCAUUUGGAUGCCUUCUUUGGAAAAAUGUCUGUUCAUGUCUUCUGCCCAGGUAUUGUCUUAUUUUUUAAAAUACAUUUUACUUUCAUUUUGUCAAAUUUUAUAAAUUACCAUAUUGGUAUCUUAACUGGACUUGAAUUAAGAGAUUUUAUAUAUUAUAUCUAUAACUUGGAGAGUAUUAUCACUUGUAAUGUAUUUAUGCAAGUGCAGAGAAUAUCAAGACUUUAUUUUCACCAUUAAUAAUUCUCUUAAAGUGAUCUCAUAUAUCCUUAUCUACAUUUUCUCUAAGAAUUGAUUUAUUGAUUCUUGUUUUUUUUUUUUUAAGAUUUUAUUUAUUUGACAGAGAGAGACACAGCGAGAGAGGGAACACAAGCAGGGGGAGUGGGAGAGGGAGAAGCAGGCUUCCCGCAGAGCAGGGAGCCCGAUGCGGGGCUCCAUCCCAGGACCCUGGGAUCAUGACCUGAGCCGAAGGCAGACGCUUAACGACUGAGCCACCCAGGCGCCCCUGAUUCUUGUUUUUUAAUAACAGUUUUGAGAUAUAACUUACAUGCCGUAAAAUUCACUCUUUAAAGGUGUACAAUUCAAUGGUUUUAGUAUAUUCACAGUGUUCACCACUAUCUAUUGUUAGAAAUUUUCAUCACCCCAAAGAAACUCUGAAGUGCAUUUGCAGUCACUCCCAUUUCCCUCCUCCCCAUAGAUCGUGGUAACCACUAAUAUACUUUAGUCUUUGUGAAUUUAUGUAUUUUGGACAUUUCAUAUAAAUAAGAUCAUAUAGUAUGUGGCCUUUUGCCACUGACUUCUUUCACUUAGCAUGUUUUCAAGCUUCCUUACUGUUGAUGAAUAUAUCAAAACUUUGCUACUUUUUAUUGCCAGAUAAUAUUCCAUUGUAUGGAUAUACAACUUUUUAUUUAUCUAUUCGUCAUCUGACGGACAUUUGGUUAUUUUUACUUUUUGACUAUUGUGAAUAAUGCUGCUAUGAACAUUUGUUGUCUCAGGCAACUUGGGCUGCUAGAAAAAAUACCAUAGACUGGGUGGCUUAAACAACACUGAUUUCUCAUAGUCUGGAGGCUGGAAGUAUGAGGUCAGGAGUUCUUGGUGAGGACCCUCUUCCUGAUUUGCAGAUGACCCCUCUUGCUAUUUUCUCACUUGGCAGAGAGCUCUGGUCUUUUCAUCUUCUUAUAAGGACACGAAUUCUUUCAUGGUGGUUUCACUUUCAUGACCUCAUCUAAACCUAAUUACUUCCCAUCUGACCCCAUCUCCAAAUACCAUCAAUCACAUUGAGGAUUAGGACUUUAACAUCUGAAUUUUGGGGGCACACAAACAUUCUGCCCGUAGCAUUUGUGAACAAGUUUUUAUGUGGACAUAUGUUUCAUGUCACUUGGGUAUAUUCCUAUCUGGGUGUAAAAACAUGUGGGUCAUAUGGUAACUCUAACUUUUUGAGGAAUUGCAAAACUGUUUUCCUAAGUGGUUGUACCAUGUUACAGUCCCACCAGCAAGAUAUGAGGGUUCCAAUUUCUCCACAUCCUUGUCAACACUUGUUAUUGUCCAUCUUUUAAAAUUUUAGUUAUUCUAGUAGUUGUGAAGUGGUUUUGAUUUUCAUUCUCUUAAUGACUAAGGAUGUUCAACAUUUUAUUAUGUCCUUAUUGGCCAUGUGUAUAUCAUCCUUGGAGAGGUGUCUAUUCAAAUCCUUUGCCUAUUUUUAAACUCGAUUAUUUGCUUUUUUUAUUGUUGAGUUGUAAGAGUUCUUUAUAUAUUCCAGAUACAAGUCCUUUAUCAACUAUGAUUUGCAAAUCCUUUCGCCCAUUCUGUGGGUUGUCUUUUCACUUUGUUGAUGGUGUUGAUGAUUUUAAAAUCUUUCACAAUAUGUGGCUGUAGUAUUUGUAAAAAAUGAUUGGUUUUGGUAUCUUUUCCAUUGCUAUAUUUAUCGUCAUUUCUUUUUGCCACCUUAUUUUGAUGGCCAGGAAGAAUUUUGAAAAAUAUAUCAAAUAGAAGUGGCAACAGAGAACAUUUUUAGUUUUUGUUUUAUUUUGUUUUUUCACUACUCUUCUGAGUUCAGAGUAAGCCUCUUUAUUGUGCUAAAAGUUCCUUUAUUUCUCUUUCAAGUGUUAAGAACAAUGAAAAAUGAAAGUAAUAAUCUCUGCUCUCCCCAUAAAUGGCUACCCCAUACCCAGUCUUCUUUGUGAAUGUGCAGCAUUUUUUAUUUUGGUUAUCUAUAGAUUGCCCUUUCAUUUUGCAGUAAUAAAAACUUCUUUCUUUUCAGUAAUGAGUUGUAGCUCUAGUAAUUUAUGUCAGUGGAAGAACAUCAUUAUUUAUUGUCAUGUUUGUUAUUUUUUUCCCUGUGAUUUGGUGAGUAAAUCUGACUUAACAAAGAAUAAGGGUUAACUUUAUGCAGUCAUUUAGCCAGAAUGACUGUCUUUUUUUUUAACAAGGCAAUGAGUGAAAUCUAUUUUCUUCCAAAGCAUUUAAAACAUCGGAAAGUAAUAUAAAGGCCAAAUCCUUUCAAAUCUCAAAUCAGAUGUAAAAACUAACAUCUUAAGUGUUUCUGUCUCUCUCAAAAUUGCUAAGUUGGAAGACCUCAGUACAAAAGUAAUGCUUUUCAGAAGAGUGGAUAAAACAGAUGAACUGGAAGUGGAUGACAUAAGUGAAUUUUCAAAAGACCCUUCACAAGUUUCCCUUUUGGUUGCAUUUCACAAUAUCCAAGACACCAUGACGGAGAAUGUGCUCUCCUUGCUUAUGGAGUCGAUUAGUGGCCUGUCAGAAGCCAAUGGUGACUUCAGAGUGGAAGUAAUACCCAAUAUUAAAGUUGCUGUCAUGACUUUUCUCCAAAAAUACUGAUGUCAGGACAUCUGUUAUGUUUUUGUUGGACACAAUAGAGUUCAGCAACUUCAGAUUUUCCCAAGACUUCUGGAACUGACAAGAACCAUCAGGGUUGAAAAUCUGCCACCUCGUGUUGAUAAGAGUUAUGUAACAACUUUCUUUGAGAACCCCACAAAUGGAAGAGAAGGAGUAACCAAUGUGCAGCUUUUCCCAGAGAAGAGUUCAGCCCUGGUUGAGUUUUCUGACUACAAAGUGGUGGACGCCUCCUUGGCCCAAGAGCCUGUCUUCAGUGAAAGACCCAUCUCUGUGUUUCCAUAUUACAUGACUUCGGCAUUGCCUUGUAUGGAAAGGAGAAGCCUCUGAGAAAGUUGCCAGCACCAUUUCUGGUGGCUCUGGAUCCUCUCAUAUGGAAGAUCUUGCAGAAGAAGCAUCACCUGAUUGAAAUGAUAAAUUAUAAAAGGGGAAUAUGUCACUGUGAGGUAACAUGGCCCCGAGUCAGCUGUAAGGGGCUAGAGGUAACAUUCAAAUCCAUGGCCACUGAACUCAAGGAAGAACAAAGAUCAAUGUCAUCAAAACCUGGAAUGAGGACAUUUCUAAAAACUUCUGCCUAUCAUUUCUAAAUAUCAAGUCACCAAAUUGAAUGUGAAGCCAACGGCAUGGGAAGACAUAAAAAACAGCAUAAAGGAUGAUAAGAUUUUGAUUGAGUCUGAUAUAUUCAAGAAGAUAGUCAUAAUAACAGGUUGUUUGGAGGAUGUGAAUAGAACUUACUACAAUUAAAGACACCUACCAUAACAUUGAAAAGGAAAAAAAAAUUUACAGAGAAUGUGGCUGGUUCUUCUAGAUUUUCUAUUCUUCACAUCAAUGCUUUGAAAAAGUCUAUACCCCAAGGAAUUCUCAGGGUUGGAGGCCAUUAAUAAUGCUUGCACCAAACAUACCAGAGUACAUGCAGGAGAGUAUAAAGAAUGAAAUUCCUGAGCAAGGGAAAAGGACUGUUCAAGAAGCCCACUCCCAGUCCUUCUGGAGUUUUCUAUUUGUUAUAGGAAGUAGAGUGUGGAAAAUUCUCUAACAUUGUUUUAAGAAAGAAAAUUCAUAACCUUUUUGAGUUAGAUCAGGCAUGAAAAAUACCUUUCAUUUCAUGGGUUACUUCUUUUUUGGGGGGGAGGGGCAGAGGGAGAAGGAGAGAGAGAAUCUCAUGGGUUACUUACCAAGCAAUUGCCUGCAGCUUUGUGUUGAGCAAGUUUCUGAAACUCUAUCUGGAUUGAUUGAAAAAGAGUGUUGGUACCAAUUAAUGUCUGUCACAGGUGUGGAUGACGAGAUAUAUAGGGAUGGGGAGGUGAUGUGCGCCAUGUUAUUACCAUUGGUAAGUGUGAGAAUACAGUCAGGUAGAUCAACACCUCUUCCUAGAUUCUGUGAAGAUCAGAUUCACAGAUUGUGCCUUCAUCAGCUAAUAUUUUGACUUUGAGUGAGUGGUUUCAUCUCUUUGUACAGUUUUUUCGUUUUUUUUUUUUUUCCAGGAGAAUGAAGUUUCCGUACUAGAUGAUCUCUAAUGACCCUUUAAAUUCUAAAAUUCUUUGGCUGAGUAAUAGUCAAACUACAAAUGCAUUAUCAUGCAUUUGACAGGAUUCAAGUGCCAAUGAUUUAAAUAGGGAAGUAAAAGGUACUGAUAGGGUGUGUGAUCAAAUCCGUUACCGCUUAAUCCCACUAAGGAAACUCCAGAGUGAGUACUACCUGGGAGGCAAGGUUGCUGGGGAGCUUUACACGAACUCCUGUCAAUCAUUGGAUGAGGGCUUGAGGGGGGUGGGAGGGCUGCUUAAUUUACCUGCAAUUCCUCUCUGCUACACCUGAAGGGAAGCAGGCUUUGGCACUACAGAAAGUCCUGGGACAAGAAAUACAGUGGGAGGGUCGCCUGGGUGGCUCAGUUGGUUGAGCAUCAGACUCUUGAUUUCAGCUCAGGUCAUGAUCUCAGGGUCCUGGGAUUGAGACCCAGGUAGGGCUCAGUGUAAGUGUGGAGCCUGCUUAAGAUUCUCUCUCUCCUUCUCCCUCUGCCCCUCCCCCCAAAAAAAGAAAAGAAAAGAAAAGAAAUACAGCUGGAAAUAUGACCAGAAUGCCCUUACGUAGUAAGAGCCAGAGGGUAUGAACAGGGUCUGCUAAGCUACAAUUCUUGGGGGAAUAAGUAAAAGAGCUCACUGGCAUUUGGAGUUAAAUAUAGCUGAUGCUCAAAAAUCGUGAUAGUAAAUUAUUUGUUUUUGAGUCUUAGGGUUGGAUUAUGAGUUGAGUUAGAGAGGUGUGGAAUCUAAGGUUAUUUCUCAGAGUUAUAUGAGAAAAAUCUCCAGAUAGCAUUGGGUCAUUAUU